RNAcentral lists this ribosomal RNA (1947 nucleotides) under human metagenome. Its description in RNAcentral is "bacterial LSU rRNA". It matches the Rfam family "Bacterial large subunit ribosomal RNA", at positions 1 to 1977 of the family's 2925-position model. The record is from RNAcentral.
GAAAGUAAUAAAGGGCGUAUGGGGGAUGCCUAGGCUCUUGGAGGCGAAGAAAGACGUGGUAAGCUGCGAUAAGCCUCGGGGAUUUGCAAACGAGAAUUGAUCCGAGGAUUUCUGAAUGGGACAACCCGGCAGGCAGAAGGCCUGUCACACGAAAGUGGGCCAACCCUCUGAACUGAAACAUCUUAGUAGGAGGAGGAAAAGAAAGAAACAUCGAUUUCCUAAGUAGCGGCGAGCGAACGGGAAACAGCCUAAACCACAAUUGUUACGGCAACUGUGGGGUUGUAGGACUGCAAUAUUCAAAUGACUGUGAACUGGAAUGUUCUGGAAAGUUCAUCCAAAGAGAGUGAAAGACUCGUACAGGCAAGCACGUCAAGCGAUAGCAGUAUCCUGAGUAGGGCGGGACACGAGGAAUCCUGUCUGAAUCCGCCGGGACCACCCGGUAAGGCUAAAUACUCCCAAGAGACCGAUAGUGAACCAGUACCGUGAGGGAAAGGUGAAAAGAACCCCGAACAGGGGAGUGAAAUAGAACCUGAAACCAUACGCUUACAACCUGUCGGAGCGGCUUCGUGCCGUGACGGCGUGCCUAUUGAAUAAUGAGCCUACGAGUUACUAAUCACUGGCAAGGUUAAGUGCACGGAUGCACGGAGCCGAAGCGAAAGCGAGUCUGAAUAGGGCGUUUAGUCAGUGGUUGUAGACGCGAAACCUUGCGAUCUACCCUUGAGCAGGUUGAAGGUUGGGUAAAACCAACUGGAGGACCGAACGAAUAAGCGUUGAAAAGCUUCUCGAUGACUUGAGGGUAGGGGUGAAAGGCUAAUCAAGCUGGGAAAUAGCUCGUACUCCCCGAAAUGCCUUUAGGGGCAGCGUUGUAAUUAAGAGUCUACUGGAGGUAGAGCUACUGAUUGGAUGCGGGGGCUUCACCGCCUACCAAAUCCUGACAAACUCCGAAUGCCAGUAGUAUGAUUUACAGCAGUGAGCGACCGGGUGCUAAUGUCCGGUUACGAGAGUGGAACAACACAGACCAGCAACUAAGGUCCCCAAGAGUAUACUAAGUUGAUCUAACGAUGUUUUGCUGCAGAGACAGCUAGGAUGUUAGCUUGGAAGCAGCUAUUCAUUCAAAGAGUGCGUAACAGCUCACUAGUCGAGCGGCAAAGCGUGGAUAAUAAACGGGCAUCAAGUAUACCACCGAAGUUCUGGGCACGAAAGUGCGGUAGGGGAGCAUUCCAUUCCGCGUUGAAGCCGAACCGUGAGGUUUGGUGGAGUGUAUGGAAAAGCAAAUGUAGGCAUGAGUAACGAUAAUGCGGGAGAGUAACCCGCACACCGCAAGACCAAGGUUUCCUGAUCAACGCUAAUCGGAUCAGGGUUAGUCGGGUCCUAAGGGUAAGCCGAACGGUGAUCUCGAUGGAUAAUCGGUUAAUAUUCCGAUACUGACAUAUACCUCGAUGGAGAGACGAAGGAACGUAAGUGCCGCCACCUGACGGAAUAGGUGGUUAAAGGGCUUAGGUAUAGGGACAGAUUAAGAGUUAGUCCUUGCUGAAACCUGACAGUACAGAGAGCCUACGGGCAAUUUGAUAGUGCACCCAAGUCGACUUCCGAGAAAAUCUUCUAAGUUAUAGUAUAUGUCACCCGUACCGUAAACCGACACAGGUGGUCGAGGAGAGUAUCCUAAGGUGCUCGAGUGAAUCACGGUUAAGGAACUAGGCAAAUUAACCCCGUAACUUCGGGAAAAGGGGUCCCAUCGCGAGGUGGGCGCAGCGAAGAGGUCCAGGCGACUGUUUAUCAAAAACACAGGGCUCUGCAAAUUCGAAAGAAGACGUAUAGGGCCUGACACCUGCCCGGUGCUGGAAGGUUAAGAGGGGAUGUCAUCGCAAGAGAAGCAUUGAAUCGAAGCCCCAGUAAACGGCGGCCGUAACUAUAACGGUCCUAAGGUAGCGAAAUUCCUUGUCGGGU